RNAcentral lists this long non-coding RNA (1223 nucleotides) under Ananas comosus (pineapple). Its description in RNAcentral is "long non-coding RNA (ACOM_LNC014235)". The record is from RNAcentral. Lineage: Eukaryota; Viridiplantae; Streptophyta; Magnoliopsida; Poales; Bromeliaceae.
AGCAUCUUAGGGGAGGCAUUUGGAUUAACGAAUCUGUAAAUCCAACGUAACUCAAGUGCAAUAAUGUUUGAAUUUUCAUGAAGUGUAAUUAUUCUUUUGUUGUUUAUUUUGACAUAAUUUGUACAGUUUAAAAGUUAAAUACAGUUACUUCUUUUGUUUGUAUUGGUGAAAUUAGUUUUUUGAGUUCCAUUAUUUAUUUUGAUGUAAAUAAGUGGAUUUCAUUGUCUCCAGAAGAUAGUGGUAAAUUUAUCCCUGUAAAAUUUAACCUAUUAAAUAAUUAAAAUUUUCAUUAUUAUUUAAAGAUAAUUUUAAUUUAUUAUAAAUAAGAUAAUUCUAAUUCAUUAUAAAGGAAAUAGAGUUUAGAUUUUACUAUUUAAUAAAUUUUGUACAGAAGAUUGAGUGUGGCGGAAGUCGAGUUGGGCACUUUAAAGAAAAAAAUCGAGAAUAGGUGAAGUGGAGGUCUAACGUAGCUUGAGUUACAUUAUAUUUUUGACUUACAUCAGAACAAAUACCCAAAGUAAUAAAACUUGAGGGCCCGUUUGGUUCGAGUUAUGUAAUAUUACGAAGUAUCUCGAUAUAUCUAGGUAUUUUGGAUUUCGGCGUGAGAUUACUACUAAUGCUGCAUUAGAGCGUUUGGUUUAAUACAGUAAUAUAAUACUAGAUUACAGUAUUUAUAGCAUUAAUAUGUUUGGUUCAGUUUAUAAAAUUUAGUAGUCCUGACAUAAAAGUAGAGUUUUUUCCAAAAUUGCCCUUGUUGUGGUCAUUUGAAUAUUAUUUUUACGGAAAUGACGAAUGGAGGGAAGGAGAUCGUGAUGAUUACUUGGGAGGACGACGCAAUAGAAGAUGAUAGGUGUUCGUGCGAGAGAGAGAGAGAGAGAGAGCGAGAGAAAGCAGCGUGCGAAAGAGAGGGCCAGGGGACGGCGAGAGAGAGAUGAAAAUAAUGCUGUUAAUUAGAUUUUGGGUUGUUGGAGGAUAAAAUUGUCAUUUUACAUAAUAUGUAGUAUUAACGAGUUUCAGUAAUACAAGAUACACGACCCCCCUUCCGUUAAUAUUUUCGAUGUAAUCCUGCUCGAUUUAUAAUGCUACAUUAACGACUAGAUUACAUAGCGGAUUAACCAAACACAGUUAUCCUGACAGGAUUGUCUGUAAUCCUGCCAGGAUAACUCGAACCAAACGCACCCUGAGUUCCACCCCUCUACUUACAUCAAAAUAAACGGUCUCUU